This 438-nucleotide ribosomal RNA is filed under the name Triticum aestivum (bread wheat). RNAcentral's name for it is "partial small subunit ribosomal RNA". The record is from RNAcentral. Lineage: Eukaryota; Viridiplantae; Streptophyta; Magnoliopsida; Poales; Poaceae.
AUGGCCAUGGGAUUGGGAAGGCUCUUGUACCGCUGCAUGAAUUUGAAAGAAGAAAAAGAGCAACAGAUGCUGGAGGAAAAAUCGGUUGCAGAGAGAAUAUUCACCAAGAUGGAGACGUCACCAGCUGAAGAAGGUCUCAUAUAUGACGCCUGGAUUCUUGCUAAAGGGCUCUUGGGGUUAGAGGAUGAGAAGAAAAUGUGGGAGGUGAUCGAAGCCGUGUGGGUGGAGAUGCUCUGCUACUCUGCCAGCAGGUGCCGGGGGCACCUGCACGCUAAGAGCUUGGGCACUGGCGGGGAGCUGCUGACCUUCAUUUGGCUCCUGUGGUUGCACAUGGGGAUGGAAACCUUGGCGGAGAGGAUGCAAAUGCCCGAGGUGGAGAUUCCAGGUGCAGGAGGAAAUACUGGCCCUGCCUUCGGACAAGACGGUGGCGGUGUUUGA